Oncorhynchus tshawytscha (Chinook salmon) is the source of this 1180-nucleotide long non-coding RNA. RefSeq lists it as uncharacterized. Lineage: Eukaryota; Metazoa; Chordata; Actinopteri; Salmoniformes; Salmonidae. The record is from RefSeq and is a predicted model, not a curated record. The transcript is spliced from 3 exons.
GUGAGGGGGAAAAAAGAGUAGAGCGAGGGAGAUAGAGAGAGAGGGAAACUGACAGGAUUCCAAUGCGGAUCAGAUAUCCCCACAGGAGUGAAACGACUUGCACUGGAGCCAGUGAGCAGGGGCUUGUGGGAAAGGAGUACACCCAAUCGUAGUACUUACUGACAGGCACAAUGUGUUCUAUCUACUGCAAGAGAGUUUCUGCUAUUUCAGAUAUUAAUGUGUUAAAAGCUGAAACCACACAACACAAUCACAUCCCGAAUCCGACUUUGUGCAUCUGUGCCAGGCCCCCUCACUGUGGCCCACAAGCAGCACACUAUGAAAAGUUCAACUGACAGCAUGGAGUGAGCCAGCCAGCAGGAGGAAUACGAAACAAGGUACUGGGACAUAUCCAGCUUGGUAGUUAGCUAGCCACAUGCGAAGGAACAGAGCUGCUUGUGGGUGCGCCGUUGCUGUGAACUUCUCCCACUCUCGUUUAUGGCAGAAUUAAGUGGGGAAAGUCUCGAAAUUCUAUCAAAACCUCAGUGACAAAACUCCCUAAAGGCAGCCUGAAAAGUAGCUGAAUUUGUCGCUAGCCUGUUUUACCAGUAAAAGCCGCUGGAGGGGUCUGAAGACUCGCUAAAUAUAGUGACAACGUUGCUAAAUUGGCAACACUGACGACAAUGUCGCCACCCCCCCUGGAGGAUGAGAACCUGCGCCAUUGACAAACUUCAAGCUAUACUGGGUUUGCAACAAAUCAUAUCCUAUCCAACUACAGUUCAUUCUUCUAUAUCUCAGGUACACAAUUGUCUGAGUUGGUUUCUCUGGACAGCAUAUCUGACUGGCUAAAAAUCUAAUAAAUAUAUUGUUUGAGAUGUUUCAAGAAGGAUAUUUUGUGUGCACAAAAUGUGUUUCCUGUCAGAUUCCGUAUGGGGAACACUGUAGUAAAUGUGUACUCAUGACAUAGAUGCAGAAAGUAAACAGCAUAGUGGGUAAAUUUCCACAACAACUAAGAGAGUUGAAGCGCGAGGCUCAACUUCCCUGCUGUUUUGGUUCCCUGGCGUCCACGCUGUGAACACUGUCAAGAAAACUUGUGCACGUGGGCCGAUACUGUGUGUGACUCACUCAUCUCAAUAUCUGCAAUGCUGCUCAUGGCAACGUCAUUUCACUGAGUCUAACUUUAAUUGAAUAAAUGGCUAUUGUU